This 377-nucleotide unclassified non-coding RNA is filed under the name uncultured Gammaproteobacteria bacterium. RNAcentral's name for it is "contains 16S-23S intergenic spacer region". The record is from RNAcentral. Lineage: Bacteria; Pseudomonadati; Pseudomonadota; Gammaproteobacteria.
UCCGGCUUAUCACCGGCAGUUUCUUUAGAGUGCUCAACUAAAUGGUGGCAACUAAAGACGAGGGUUGCGCUCGUUGCGGGACUUAACCCAACAUCUCACGACACGAGCUGACGACAGCCAAGCAGCACCUGUGUUACGGCUCCCUUUCGGGCACACCCCCAUCUCUACCCCUUUCCGCACAUGUCAAGGGUAGGUAAGGUUUUUCGCGUUGCAUCGAAUUAAUCCACAUAAUCCACCGCUUGUGCGGGUCCCCGUCAAUCCCUUUGAGUUUUAACCUUGCGGCCGUACUCCCCAGGCGGUCAACUUCACGCGUUAGCUUCGUUACCAAGGAAUUACUUCCCCGACAACUAGCUGACAUCGUUUAGGGCGUGGACUAC